AAACAUGUUUACUUCAAGCAAACCGAGCCUUUUCAAAAUACGUACAAACUGUAAUUCAAUCAAUUCCUUUCAAGCCGUCGCUACAAUUAGGCAGUUGGUAGGAAGGUAUCAAGUUCCUGAAGAAAGAUACCACCAUCAUUGUUUAUUGAAUGAAAACAUUAUGGUAGAGGUACACGGCAAUAAUUGGAUACAUUUCGAUGUUUCUGGCUACAUCGAAAUCGGUUACGAUAAUAUCAACGUUGAGAACGAUGAAGUUGGAACGUCUAUAAACAGCCUACAGGAGCCUACAAAUGAGAAACAGCCAUUUGACGAGGUUAUCAAAAAGUGAGCUGUAAAAACAUACCAAACCCUCAAGGGCUGAACAGUAUAUUAACAAUUUUGAGCAAGAGAACAAGCUAUAGACUUCCCAAAGAUGCGCAUACUUUGCUGGGAACAAUGCAAAGUGGAAACGAAUUAGUUCCUACAGCAGGGGGACAACUUUGGUACCCGUGAGUACGAACGGUGCUGUACAGAUAUUUUUGCAAUGUGCAACCAAGAGUGAGUUCAUUCUCAGUGAACUUCUUACUGGAUGUACUUCUACUGAAAAGGAAGACACGGAAAUAGUUUUGGCCAAUUAUGACGAAUAUUCAAGAAAUGCCCGUUAUCAUCGUUAAGUGGUCGUUAAGUGGAGCAUGUUAAAAACACGCUCCAAUACGGUCAUAAAGUUUUGGUGCAAGCUGCAAACAGUAUGACAGAGCAAUCGCUGCAAUCACCUGAUUGUGAAUGUCCCGCAUUCCAAUAUUUAAAAUCCAAACACGAAGUGAGAUUGUAUGUUAAUUAUAGCCUUGGUCUUUACCCAGGUAUGCAAAAUAAUUGAUUUUUAUCCAAAGAUUUUCACAUUGUUCUGUAUAAUAGUGCACAACAGGAUGAACCAAACAUACAUAUUUAUGGUAAAACAUUUAGCAAAAUAACAGAAUCCUAUAGUUCCAUUAUUCGCCCAAGAUGAAGGAUUUAUAUGAGAUAAAUAUUUGUGAUCUUUCCAAACAAAUGAUAAUAUUUAUUAUCACAGAUAUAAAAUGUAAAUUAGUACCCAUUGAAACUAACAACACUAGCUUGGUAUUUGUUCCUCUUCUGCAGAUUGCACAUUGACGGAAUAGACUUUUUUUAACAAAUGAACGGGUGAAUCUGGGAGUAAAAUCGUUUAUAAUUGAAAGCUAUAAAGUUGAUUGCAUUAUCAGUGAAGUAUUCCAUUUUUAUGAGAAGUGAUAUAGAAUAUAAUAAUUUACUUUCUGGUGUUGAUUUUUAGCUGAAUAAGGAACUUAAGCUUAAAAAUAGCUUCAAUUCAAUUGUGUUGUUCUUAGCACAACGUUAAGAACAUUUGGCGACAUACUGGAAAAGUGGACAUGUGUAAGUGUUCUGUUCUACAACGGACGACUGUUGCUCCUAGGUUUUUUUGACGAAAAAAUUGGCAAAGGUCACAUUUAAAGCAGGCUUAAAAGUAGGAACAAUUGAUGCGCCAUUUCUACUUGACAAGAUUAAUUUUACAGUCCCUCGCCUAAAAUCUUGACACCAUAGAAUGCUGGAUGAAACUAAGCAUACCAAGCUAUAACCAUAACUAAAAUACCUAUGAGCGUAACGACGCAACGGCUGAACGAGUAUUUUUUUUACUCUGGGUACUAGGACGUAUAGGCAUAAGAUUAAUGAUGAUUAUAUAUAGGUAUAAGAUGACUGAAAUAAGUGUAAUUUGGUGCUUUCGGUGGCGUACAGAAAGUAUUUUUACGGGUUUUUAAACAAAAAUAAACCAAAAAGUGAUAAGAAAUGUCUCCACAUUUUUAGUAUGUGCAUAUUUCGUUAUAUAUGGAAUAUAAAACUUACUAUUGUCAUAUUUGGUCCGCCUAUAGUCAUAAUUGCGUCUCUUACGCUGUAUAAAAAUUGUGUUCA
This is a long non-coding RNA of Anopheles moucheti, 1920 nucleotides long. RefSeq lists it as uncharacterized. The transcript is spliced from 3 exons. The record is from RefSeq and is a predicted model, not a curated record. NCBI's taxonomy places the organism in Eukaryota, Metazoa, Arthropoda, Insecta, Diptera, Culicidae.